Molecule: ribosomal RNA, 263 nt
Filed under: uncultured bacterium
Lineage: Bacteria
Description: partial 16S ribosomal RNA
Rfam family: Bacterial small subunit ribosomal RNA
Source: RNAcentral
UACGUAGGGUGCGAGCGUUAAUCGGAAUUACUGGGCGUAAAGCGUGCGCAGGCGGUCUGUUAAGACCGAUGUGAAAUCCCCGGGCUCAACCUGGGAAUGGCAGUGGAUACUGGCAAGCUAGAGUGUGUCAGAGGAUGGUGGAAUUCCCGGUGUAGCGGUGAAAUGCGUAGAGAUCGGGAGGAACAUCAGUGGCGAAGGCGGCCAUCUGGGACAACACUGACGCUGAGGCACGAAAGCGUGGGGAGCAAAAGGGAGUUAGAAAC